RNAcentral lists this ribosomal RNA (483 nucleotides) under uncultured bacterium. Its description in RNAcentral is "partial 16S ribosomal RNA". It matches the Rfam family "Bacterial small subunit ribosomal RNA", at positions 30 to 507 of the family's 1533-position model. The record is from RNAcentral.
UUGCACGCUGGCGGCAGGCCUAACCCCUGCCAGUCGAGCGGAUGAAGGGAGCUUGCUCCUGGAUUCAGCGGCGGACGGGUGAGUAAUGCCUAGGAAUCUGCCUGGUAGUGGGGGAUAACGUCCGGAAACGGGCGCUAAUACCGCAUACGUCCUGAGGGAGAAAGUGGGGGAUCUUCGGACCUCACGCUAUCAGAUGAGCCUAGGUCGGAUUAGCUAGUUGGUGGGGUAAAGGCCUACCGAGGCGACGAUCCGUAACUGGUCUGAGAGGAUGAUCAGUCACACUGGAACUGAGACACGGUCCAGACUCCUACGGGAGGCAGCAGUGGGGAAUAUUGGACAAUGGGCGAAAGCCUGAUCCAGCCAUGCCGCGUGUGUGAAGAAGGUCUUCGGAUUGUAAAGCACUUUAAGUUGGGAGGAAGGGCAGUAAGUUAAUACCUUGCUGUUUUGACGUUACCAACAGAAUAAGCACCGGCUAACUUCGUG